Molecule: ribosomal RNA, 898 nt
Filed under: Fusarium sp.
Lineage: Eukaryota; Fungi; Ascomycota; Sordariomycetes; Hypocreales; Nectriaceae
Description: partial large subunit ribosomal RNA
Rfam family: Eukaryotic large subunit ribosomal RNA
Source: RNAcentral
UAGCAUAUCAAUAAGCGGAGGAAAAGAAACCAACAGGGAUUGCCCCAGUAACGGCGAGUGAAGCGGCAACAGCUCAAAUUUGAAAUCUGGCUCUCGGGCCCGAGUUGUAAUUUGUAGAGGAUGCUUUUGGUGAGGUGCCUUCCGAGUUCCCUGGAACGGGACGCCAUAGAGGGUGAGAGCCCCGUCUGGUUGGACGCCGAACCUCUGUAAAGCUCCUUCGACGAGUCGAGUAGUUUGGGAAUGCUGCUCUAAAUGGGAGGUAUAUGUCUUCUAAAGCUAAAUACCGGCCAGAGACCGAUAGCGCACAAGUAGAGUGAUCGAAAGAUGAAAAGAACUUUGAAAAGAGAGUUAAACAGUACGUGAAAUUGUUGAAAGGGAAGCGCUUGUGACCAGACUUGGGCUUGGUUGAUCAUCCGGGGUUCUCCCCGGUGCACUCUUCCGGCCCAGGCCAGCAUCAGUUCGCCCUGGGGGACAAAGGCAUCGGGAACGUGGCUCUCUCCGGGGAGUGUUAUAGCCCGUUGCGUAAUACCCUGCGGCGGACUGAGGUUCGCGCAUUCGCAAGGAUGCUGGCGUAAUGGUCAUCAGUGACCCGUCUUGAAACACGGACCAAGGAGUCGUCUUCGUAUGCGAGUGUUCGGGUGUCAAACCCCUACGCGAAAUGAAAGUGAACGCAGGUGAGAGCUUCGGCGCAUCAUCGACCGAUCCUGAUGUUAUCGGAUGGAUUUGAGUAAGAGCAUACGGGGCCGGACCCGAAAGAAGGUGAACUAUGCCUGUGUAGGGUGAAGCCAGAGGAAACUCUGGUGGAGGCUCGCAGCGGUUCUGACGUGCAAAUCGAUCGUCAAACAUGGGCAUGGGGGCGAAAGACUAAUCGAACCUUCUAGUAGCUGGUUUCCGCCGA